GAGAAAGAAACCUAGCUCCCAGAGCCGGUGCAGUCAGUCCCCUCGCCCCUCCCACCCCUGCGCGGGUCCCCCUCCAGCCGUCGCUACAUCCACCACCUCGGUUCCACUCAAUCGAUUUUUGCUGCAUGUCAACACUUAUUACCGUCCACCCAGGGAGUCCAGGGCCGGAGGAGCCCCCAGCCACAUCCCCUUCUCACCCUUUCUCUGGCCUCCGCGCCUUCACUCCCGGGCAGCCAUAUACCUUGAAUGGGUCAUGCCUGCCUGCCUCCUUGGAGCUGCGUCUUGAAGCCCAGGGGUUGAACAUUAACCGGCUGUGGCUAUAGACUGAGAUGGCACUCUCUGCCUCAACCUGGACCCUGACUCUGACGUGCUUAUUGAAACAGAAGUUUCGCUGAAAGCAUUCACUGAAAUCUCUGUACUUACGGGUAUGAGAAAGUGGCAGCGGUGGUGUGCGUGUCUGCUGAGAACUCUGCAUCGCUGCAUUACUCUCAAGGUCACAUCCUAGCUUCUUCAAAGUUAGAAAGGAAAAGAACACACUAUGAACACACUGCUUCUGUUUCAGUGUGUUCACAGUCUGUAUAGCGAUCCUGAGAAUUUUUGGCAGGGGAUGGAGGGUGGCAGCAAAGACAUGGAGUAAACAAGACUUUCCAGAGUGUCAGCAGGCAUCAACAAUGUGGCAAGUGCUGUGUAUGCGUAUUAAUUGAACAUCACCAAUCAGUUCAUUCUCAAAGAAAAUGGCUUUCUGUUUAAGAUGUGGUUACAGAGUGUUCAUCACUUCGUGUAGUGUCACUGCUCUGUCAGUGCACACAAUGCUCUUUGUCGUUCCUAUAGAGCGAUUCAGCUCAACUUUGUCAGCACCAAAUUUGGUGUUAUUCCACACUCCCUCCCAAAAAAUAGUAUUGACUCAAAUGUUCCACUAAAUUAGCUCUAGAGAGACAAUGAAUGCAUCGAAGCAAAUAAAUACAAAGAAGUAUGAAUCACACACUCAGUUGCUUUUCAGUGACUUACAGAAAUGUACGUGGGGAAAGGGUAUUUACUUUUAAGGGCUUGAGUAGUUGGGGAAAAGAGUAUUCUAAAGGGUAUUGCAGUGUUCACUCAAACCUUCUUCCCCACCAAAUUACCAUGUUAUCUGACACCCUCGAUCUAUUUGUGUCCUGAGUAACAGACGGUUUGACCAAGAGGUCACAGACUAGAGGGCUUGGGUGACUGGAAACAAGUUUGACAAGAAAGGAAUCUGGGUGGGGUGCCACCAUGGAGGUGGAAAGAGGAUGAGGCCACCAUGGCUGGAGCAGCCUGGCAACCCAAAAUCUGCUGGACCCUGCGUUUACACAAAAUGCCUUGUCAGGGAAUGGGAAAUUAGGAAUAGCUGUUAACACAAUUUCAUGGAUGAGAAAAAUUUAAGUUUCUCUCUCCAUUCCUUUUCUUUAUCUUCCCUUUUUCUACCUUCUUCUUGCCCUUCUUCUGCAUCAGGUGACUCUCCCCAGAAUUUUGGCUGCUCCUGAAUGAAGCCCUGCUUAUCCUCUCUUUUGAAUUAAGGCUUCAGGUGGUUUGUAGUGUUCACUUUUCCAGAUAUAAUACAUGUUUUAUUCAGUCAAGAGUCUACCUGUAAACCACGUGUACUUGUGAAUAUGGAGUGCUUCUAUGAACAGUACAAGUUUCAGGUUGAAUAAGUAAAGUGUGCAAUAUUGCAUACUUUAGCAUUUCAGAGUGCAAGAAGGACAGUGCACACUCUUUAAUAAAGCCCCACUGCAUGCCAGGGACACUGGGAGAGUGAGUGAGCAGAAUUCUUUCACCCAGGCAAUAUGACCCUUGGCAUUAUGGCCACCAAAGUGGGAAAUCUCCAUUUAGUUUGCCAUUCUCACUUUGAAAGCUCCUCCUCCCCUAAAACUACCAUCUGUGCACUUGUACACAUUGUCAAAUUUAUGUGUCCCAAGAAAACACUGAAACAGUCCUUUGAAAAGUUUAUGUGCUAAACUUUUCAUGAAAACGCAUUUUCCUUCUGCUAAAUCCUCCUUUUAUUGGCUCAGCAGAAUUUUAUUGUAUUUUUCUCUUUCUUGUACAAUUGAGAAACACCUUCAUUAUCAUCCUACAACUCGUCAGAUUAGAACUUGGUUGAAACAUCUUUUACUCCACAGAAGCGCUGCCCUAUUUCACCCUCCUUUGGCUCUUUCUUUUCCUUUCCAACUUCUUCCACUAAGUGAUUCUUCUAAGAAUCACUUAGAGGUAAUUCUAAUCUCAUGACUCUGUCCCUUUUUACUUUUUCAUUUUAUUUCUGGCCACUUAGUGUUCCCAUACUUCCUAACUAACUUUCAUCCAUAUUACUCCUUUGGCAAUUACCAUAUGGGGUGUUUCAUUAUAAGUUAAGAUUUUGUGGGUCAUUGUUUUUAGCUUCUUGUGGUGGCUUGGCACAACACCUUGUAAAGGAGUAGAUAUUCAAUAAAUGCCUAUUGAUCAAAUGUUACAAUUAAAAUCUUUGUUCACAAAAACAAAAGUUCAAAGACAAUAAAAUCUAUUGA
This is a non-coding RNA of Saimiri boliviensis boliviensis (Bolivian squirrel monkey), 2516 nucleotides long. The record is from RefSeq and is a predicted model, not a curated record. NCBI's taxonomy places the organism in Eukaryota, Metazoa, Chordata, Mammalia, Primates, Cebidae.